RNAcentral lists this long non-coding RNA (1082 nucleotides) under Cyanistes caeruleus (blue tit). Its description in RNAcentral is "lncRNA (ENSCCEG00000018599.1)". Lineage: Eukaryota; Metazoa; Chordata; Aves; Passeriformes; Paridae. The record is from RNAcentral.
AAUUCCACCCAAUUCCCUCAAAUUCCACCCAAAUUCCCCAUAUUUCCCUCAAAUCCCCUCAGGACCCCCCAAAAUCCCCUCAGGGACUUCCCGAAAACUCCUCAAAAUCUUCCCAAAUCCCCUCUGUUUCCCUCAAAUCCCCUCAGGAUCCCCAAAAUCCCCUCAGGACCCCUCAAGGACCCUCAAAUCCUCUCGGGAACCCUGAAAAUCUCCCCAAAUCCCCUCUAUUUCCCUCAAAUCCCCUCAGGAUCCCAAAAAUCCCCUCAGGAUCUCCAAAAUCCCCUCAAGGACCCCUCAAAUCCCCUCAGGAACCCUCCAAAUCUCCCCAAAAUCUCCCCAAAUCCCCUCUAUUUCCCUUAAAUCCCCUCAGAAUCCCCCCAAAUCCCCUCAGGAUCCCCAAAAUCCCCUCAGGAUCCCCCCUCUUUUUACCGCUUUCUCGUCCGCGCCCCGCAGGAACCUCUUCACUCUGGGCCGCGGCACCGGCGCCGGCCCGGGGAACGGGUCCGUUCUCUGCGGGAAAAGAGGGAAUGAGACUGGGACCACCCCAAAAAUCCUCUCGAGAUUCCCGAAAUCCCCCAAAUUGGAUGAAUUCUCGCCCCGUCCCCUCACUCACCCCGGACACGCCGCCCGCCAUCACGACCAUGCGGAGAUACCACGCCUACUUCCGGGUGAGGAGCCAAUCCGAUUGAAGGGCGGGAAAAAAUCCGACCAAUCAGCGCGAAGCGGCGCGGGAAAAGGUUGAAGGCGGAGGCGCCAUCUUGGGUGAGGGCAAAGCGGGUAUCGAGCAAAGCACGGGCGCCAUCUUUGUUGUGGGCAGCACCAUUUUGGGUGAGGGCGCAGGGCGCGGCCGCCGCCAUCUUUGUUGAGGGCAAAUCUCCGCCCGCCAAUUCCAGGUCGGUUUUCCCAAAUUUUGUUCCAUCCCAAAUUCCCUUUUUUUUUUUCCUUCAAGAAGCGAUUCCCCUUCCCAAACCUCUCCUUUUUAUCCUGAAUUUUUAUUUUUAAAAAUAUCGGUAUUUUUUCCUCAAAAAUGCGCUUCCCUCCCUCCCCUUCCCCCUCACGAAAAUUCGUUUUUAUUCCCCAAA